Long non-coding RNA from Gossypium arboreum, 1714 nucleotides. RefSeq lists it as uncharacterized. Lineage: Eukaryota; Viridiplantae; Streptophyta; Magnoliopsida; Malvales; Malvaceae. The record is from RefSeq and is a predicted model, not a curated record. The transcript has 3 exons.
AAAACCCAAGCAAAAGUCCAGAUUAAACGGCCCCAAAACAAAAGGCAAUAACAACAAUGCCAAAUCCUAAUUUUGAUUUGUCAUCUAAACCUUCCAGAAAGAAACCAAAAAGCUGAAGGGACGCCACUGAUGUCGACGGAUAAGAAAAUCUUCUCCGGCAACCGUUAAGAGAUCGUCGAACCACUAGCUACCACAUUCAAGAGGUUGAUUAACGAACGAGAACCUGCACUCUAACAGAGACGACCAAACUCUUCCCCAACCCCGCGGAUCCCACAAACCUUUGGGCUCCUCCUACCUCCAAUCCCUACCCUCAAAUUAGAUCCCUGUAAAAAGACACUUCAUCUCCCACACUCAUCCGGUCGGAAGGCGCAACUAUCAUUAUCCAAUACCGUCGAAUCAAAGAGAGGCGCCCCUCCCUCCUGGUAAGCAUGACCCCCUCCCCGGAGACCCGCAGCUGCCAACAGAUGGGCCACCUGAUUCGUAGCUCGGGGAACAUGCACCAAUCAACACCAGCGAAACUACAAAGCCAUUGCAUUGAUAUCUCUGAUGUAACGCCCAAGGGCCGACGUAUCAUGAUAAGGAGAUAGGAUCUUGCAGAUCACCGUGAGAGAAUUACCUUCAAAAAUAGCCUCAUGCAACCCCAGCCCCAGAACAAGUCAAAUCGCAUGAUAGCAAGCCAGGGCCUCUGCAGCAAAAGACGAAGGUACGUGCGUACUGACCAAUGAUUGUGAACCCAUCACCAUGCCCAAGUGAUCCCUAGUGACAAUACCCGCACAGGAAAGUCUUUGUAGGUGCAUGGAAAACAGUAUCAAAGUUCACUUUUACACAUGUUAGAUUUGGAGGCCGCCACCGCUCAACACCGAUCAGGCAACCAGGGACUCCCAAAUAUCCAAAAUCGAAGGGCAAUUGUGAAAAAUAUGUUCCAGAGUCUCGGCAGAGACAAGGCAUCGAGAGCACAUAGUGGAUAUAGUAGCUAAGAAUAAAAUUGUUGAAAACUCACCAUACUUUAGUUUUGAUUUUUGCCGGAAGUUACAAUUCCAUAAUUUGUUGUAAAAUAGAUUAUAAGAGUCCGUUAUCUCAAAAUAGUCCGAAGAAUAAGGAGUCUAAAAUCACCACGGACAGAGAAUUCUCUUGAAGGCUCAUCCCCCCAAACCAAGAAGUCUUCAUGGGCAUCCUGAGCAAUGGGAAUACAUAACACCUUAUUUGCAAUGGCUUGGCCACAACACUGGCAACCUCGGAAUCCAAACAUCAUCGCAAAUCCAUAUAUUGGAUACUGUACCCAAUCACCAACAAAGGCCCAUAUGCAACAACCCCUUCGUAGACCAGAUACUCUUCCAAAGGUAAGAAAGGUAAGCUCCCAAACUAGCAUGCAUAAAAUCACAACGUAGGUAAUAUUUUGCUUUUAGGGCACGAGCUAACAAAGAAAAUGGGUUUUUAAUCAAACGCCAACCUUGCUUUGCCAACAGAGCAAUUUUAACUUUGCCAAAUCUUAAAAUCCCAAGCCACUAUUGGGCUUCAAAGCACAUAGUUUAGUCCAAGCACACCAAUGCAUACCCCCUUGACCCCCAUUUCGUUUUUACCAAAAUUGACUAAUUAUAUUUUUCCAAAUCAAUGCAAAAAGAUGCAAGUAAUAUAAAAACAUGAUAUAGUAAAUGUAGGGAUAGCUUGUAAGACGCUUUUGAUAAAAACUUUCUUCCCACCUUUAGACAAUGGC